AAGUAAAAAGUCGUAACAAGGUUUCCGUAGGUGAACCUGCGGAAGGAUCAUUACUGAGUGAGGGCCCUCUGGGUCCAACCUCCCACCCGUGUUUAUUGUACCUUGUUGCUUCGGCGGGCCCGCCUUUAUGGCCGCCGGGGGGCUUACGCUCCCGGGCCCGCGCCCGCCGAAGACACCCUCGAACUCUGUCUGAAGAUUGUAGUCUGAGUGAAAAUAUAAAUUAUUUAAAACUUUCAACAACGGAUCUCUUGGUUCCGGCAUCGAUGAAGAACGCAGCGAAAUGCGAUACGUAAUGUGAAUUGCAGAAUUCAGUGAAUCAUCGAGUCUUUGAACGCACAUUGCGCCCCCUGGUAUUCCGGGGGGCAUGCCUGUCCGAGCGUCAUUGCUGCCCUCAAGCACGGCUUGUGUGUUGGGCCCCGUCCUCCGAUCCCGGGGGACGGGCCCGAAAGGCAGCGGCGGCACCGCGUCCGGUCCUCGAGCGUAUGGGGCUUUGUCACCCGCUCUGUAGGCCCGGCCGGCGCUUGCCGAUCAACCAAAAUUUUUUCCAGGUUGACCUCGGAUCAGGUAGGGAUACCCGCUGAACUUAAG
RNAcentral lists this unclassified non-coding RNA (588 nucleotides) under Penicillium atramentosum. Its description in RNAcentral is "sequence contains 18S rRNA gene, ITS1, 5.8S rRNA gene, ITS2, 28S rRNA gene". The stretch from base 229 to 382 matches the Rfam family "5.8S ribosomal RNA". The record is from RNAcentral. Lineage: Eukaryota; Fungi; Ascomycota; Eurotiomycetes; Eurotiales; Aspergillaceae.